This 255-nucleotide ribosomal RNA is filed under the name uncultured bacterium. RNAcentral describes it as "partial 16S ribosomal RNA". It matches the Rfam family "Bacterial small subunit ribosomal RNA", at positions 74 to 334 of the family's 1533-position model. The record is from RNAcentral.
CAAACCAAAGCUGGCGACCGGCGCACGGGUGAGUAACACGUAUCCAACCUGCCUCAUACUCGGGGAUAGCCUUUCGAAAGAAAGAUUAAUAUCCGAUAGCAUAUGUUUCCCGCAUGGGUUUUAUAUUAAAGAAAUUCGGUAUGAGAUGGGGAUGCGUUCCAUUAGUUUGUUGGGGGGGUAACGGCCCACCAAGACUACGAUGGAUAGGGGUUCUGAGAGGAAGGUCCCCCACAUUGGAACUGAGACACGGUCCAA